Molecule: ribosomal RNA, 406 nt
Filed under: uncultured bacterium
Lineage: Bacteria
Description: partial 16S ribosomal RNA
Rfam family: Bacterial small subunit ribosomal RNA
Source: RNAcentral
AUUGAACGCUGGCGGCAGGCCUAACACAUGCAAGUCGAGCGAGCGGCGGACGGGUGAGUAAUGUCUGUGAAACUGCCUGAUCGAGGGGGAUAACUACUGGAAACGGUAGCUAAUACCGCAUACCAUCAGAUGUUCCCAGAUGGGAUUAGCUAGUAGGUGGGGUAACGGCUCACCUAGGCGACGAUCCCUAGCUGGUCUGAGAGGAUGAUCAGCCACACGGGGACUGAGAAACGGCCCAGACGCCUACGGGAGGCAGCAGUGGGGAAUAUUGCACAAUGGGCGCAAGCCUGAUGCAGCCAUGCCGCGUGUGUGAAGAAGGCCCUAGGGUUGUAAAGUACUUUCAGUGGGGAGGCGUUACCGACAGAAGAAGCACCGGCUAACUCCGUGCCAGCAGCCGCGGUAAUAC